Molecule: long non-coding RNA, 1964 nt
Filed under: Sus scrofa (pig)
Lineage: Eukaryota; Metazoa; Chordata; Mammalia; Artiodactyla; Suidae
Description: lncRNA (ENSSSCG00060044102.1)
Source: RNAcentral
ACUCAGGAGCCCGGGGACAAGGCGGACUCGUGUCCGAGAACCACCUCCCACUGCCGAUCGGGGCCAGGAGCUCGUAAGGGCGAGUUUCAGGGGUGCCAGGCGGAAAGGGGGGCUGCGGGCCCGCCAGCACGGUGGGCUCCGUCGGCUCCGAGAGUCAGCUUGACAUUGGCCACGUGGCGUCUAUCGGCAUCGCCUUGGUGGUUUAGGUACGGCUGCUCCUCAGUUCCAGAGUCGGUUUGGUCCCGUGUCUUUGAGGUCCGCUCUCGGAAUCGCGGCCGCCGAUGUCCCGGCUGCGGUCAGGCCAUCACGUAGUUAACUUCUUCCCCCUGGCGGGGCUUCAGUCUCCGCAGCAGCCCACAGGACACGGCUGGGAAUGUCGUCCACAGCCCUGGAGUCCUUGACUUGAAUGGCCAAACUAUUACUUUGUCGUGUUUGACGACUUUUCUUUGCCUCUGCGUCUUCUUACUCCUCUGAUAAAAGUUACGCUUUGACUAAUGUUUUUCUACAGACAAGAAGCAAGACAUGGGGGCCAGUGGGGGCGUCUGUCCUUGGAAGCUCCCAGGGUCCUGAUCAGUUACAGGGUAUUGGAGGUGGGCCUUUGGGAGAUACUUAGGGUUAGAUGAGGGUGGAGCCCCCACGGGACGCUCGUCUUUACGGGAAGAGGAGGCUACCCAGAGCCCUCUCUGCCCCAUGAGGGCGCAGCGAUGCCUGCAAGCCAGGGAGGGGGUCCUCCCAACCGAGCUGACACCCUGGUCUCAGACCUCCAGCCUCCGGACUGCGGGACGAUCGGCUCCUGCUGCUUGGGCCAGUCCCUGGUAGUUUGUGACAGCCGCCCCAGCCGACUCACACAAGCCCCGACUGCCAGGUUUAAGUCCCAGCUCUCCAGAGCCCAAGCUGGGGGCCUGGGCCUGCUCCUGGCCCCUUAGGUGGAGGCGGUGGAGGGUGUUGUAGGUGCCCAGGCGCUGAGGGGUCCCCAGAGACCCUCCAAAGCACCAGCGAUGGGGCUGGGGGUACAGAGCUGGGCAGGUCUCUGCCUCUGCACCGGCUCCACCAGGUUGCCCAUGGCUCCUGCCCCCCCAGAUCCCGUGCAGAAGCCCAAGUUUGGCAGAAAUCCUGCCUCUCAACCUGGGUGGGAUCUGGGGGUGGCAUCCCCUUCCCAACCGGCCGGGAAUGCGUUCCAUGUGCCUGCGCUGCCGGUUCACCUGUGAUCACCUGUGAUCAUCUGUGCCAGUCUGGCCUGAGGGUGAGGCCCCUUUCCCUGCCCUCACCUCUCUCAUCUGCCUGCCUUCUUCCAUCCCCUCCUAUUCUGAGCCUUCUCUUUCCCUCUGGCUCUGUCUUUUCCUUUUCAAAACCCAACAUCUGGGAGUUCCCGUCUCGGAUUCGUUAACCACUGAGCCAUGACAGGAACUCCAGUCAUCUAUUUUAUAUGCAGUAGUGCAUCUCUGCUAAUCCCCAACUCCUCAUUUAUCCCUCCUCCUCUUUUGCUGCUUCGGUAAUUAUAAAUUUGUUUUCUAUGUCUGUGAGUCUAUUUCUGUUUCGUAAAUAAGUUCAUUUGUAUCAUUUUUUUUUAGAUUCCACAUAUAAGUGAUAAUCAUAUAUUUGUCUUUGUCUUUCUGACUUAAUUCACUUAGUGAUCAUCUCUGGGUCCAUCCAUGUGGCUGCAAAUAGCUUAUUUCAUUCUUUUUCAUGGCUGAAUAAUAUUCCAUUGUGUAUAUACACCAGAGCUUCUUCAUUCAUCUGUCAAUGGACAUUUAGGUUGUUGCCAUGUCUUGCAUGUUGUGCUGCAGUGAACCUAGGGAUGCAUGUAUCUUUUUGGCUGAAAGUUUUGUCUGGAUAUAUGCCCAGGAGUGGGACUGUUGGAUCAUAUGGCAGCUCCAUUUUUAGGUUUUUAAGGCACCUGCAGACUGUUCUCCAUAGUGGUUGUACCAGUUUACGUUCCCACCAACAGUGCAGGAGGGUUCCCU